CGAGGUGCCCGCUAGAGUUUUUUCCUGGCGCGGAAGACGGGAGCUUGCUCCUGAAAAAACGGCGGACGGGUGAGUAAUGCCUAGGAAUCUGCCUGGUAGUGGGGGACAACGUUUCGAAAGGAACGCUAAUACCGCAUACGUCCUACGGGAGAAAGCAGGGGACCUUCGGGCCUUGCGCUAUCAGAUGAGCCUAGGUCGGAUUAGCUUGUUGGUGAGGUAAUGGCUCACCAAGGCGACGAUCCGUAACUGGUCUGAGAGGAUGAUCAGUCACACUGGAACUGAGACACGGUCCAGACUCCUACGGGAGGCAGCAGUGGGGAAUAUUGGACAAUGGGCGAAAGCCUGAUCCAGCCAUGCCGCGUGUGUGAAGAAGGUCUUCGGAUUGUAAAGCACUUUAAGUUGGGAGGAAGGGUUGUAGAUUAAUACUCUGCAAUUUUGACGUUACCGACAGAAUAAGCACCGGCUAACUCUGUGCCAGCAGCCGCGGUAAUACAGAGGGUGCAAGCGUUAAUCGGAAUUACUGGGCGUAAAGCGCGCGUAGGUGGUUUGUUAAGUUGGAUGUGAAAGCCCCGGGCUCAACCUGGGAACUGCAUCCAAAACUGGCAAGCUAGAGUACGGUAGAGGGUGGUGGAAUUUCCUGUGUAGCGGUGAAAUGCGUAGAUAUAGGAAGGAACACCAGUGGCGAAGGCGACCACCUGGACUGAUACUGACACUGAGGUGCGAAAGCGUGGGGAGCAAACAGGAUUAGAUACCCUGGUAGUCCACGCCGUAAACGAUGUCAACUAGCCGUUGGAAUCCUUGAGAUUUUAGUGGCGCAGCUAACGCAUUAAGUUG
RNAcentral lists this ribosomal RNA (834 nucleotides) under Pseudomonas fulva. RNAcentral describes it as "bacterial SSU rRNA". It matches the Rfam family "Bacterial small subunit ribosomal RNA", at positions 52 to 867 of the family's 1533-position model. The record is from RNAcentral. Lineage: Bacteria; Pseudomonadati; Pseudomonadota; Gammaproteobacteria; Pseudomonadales; Pseudomonadaceae.